Molecule: ribosomal RNA, 440 nt
Filed under: uncultured bacterium
Lineage: Bacteria
Description: partial 16S ribosomal RNA
Rfam family: Bacterial small subunit ribosomal RNA
Source: RNAcentral
CCUACGGGAGGCAGCAGUAGGGAAUAUUGCUCAAUGGGGGAAACCCUGAAGCAGCAACGCCGCGUGGAGGAUGAAGGUUUUCGGAUUGGAAACUCCCUUUGUUAGAGAAGAUAAUGACGGUAUCUAACGAAUAAGCACCGGCUAACUCCGUGCCAGCAGCCGCGGUAAUACGGAGGGUGCAAGCGUUACUCGGAAUCACUGGGCGUAAGGAGGGCGUAGGCGGGAUAGCAAGUCAGAUGUGAAAUCCUAUGGCUUAACCAUAGAACUGCAUUUGAAACUGUUAGUCUAGAGUAUGGGAGAGGUAGGUGGAAUUCUUGGUGUAGGGGUAAAAUCCGUAGAGAUCAAGCGGAAUACUCAUUGCGAAGGCGACCUGCUAGAACAUAACUGACGCUGAUGCGCGAAAGCGUGGGGAGCAAACAGGAUUAGAUACCCCAGUAGUC